CAGGCACCCUAGUCUGUUUUCAGAUGAAAGAGAAAGCUGCGGCUCUGAAGCUGAAGGGUCACUGGGGCUCUGGGCAGACAGGACAGGACACCCAAGCAGACAAGGAAAGAGGAUGGCUCAGAACGUUCCACCUAUAAUGAUUCCUUUAGG
Molecule: long non-coding RNA, 150 nt
Organism: Microtus oregoni (creeping vole)
Lineage: Eukaryota; Metazoa; Chordata; Mammalia; Rodentia; Cricetidae
Exons: 4
Source: RefSeq, a predicted model, not a curated record